GUCGAUUUCCUGGCCAUCACGUAUAACCAAGUAAUCCUCUUAUCUGAAAUAUUUUGAUGUGCCACUGACCGAUGAUCACAUUCCGUUUAACCUAGUCGUUUUUCGUUGUGUGGUUGUGUAACAUGCGGAGCAAUCCUUUAUAUCAUGAUAGAGAAUCUUUGUGCAUUAUUUCCUACCCAUUCCCCGUCUCACAGUCCUGUUCUACCUUCGAACAAAUUGAGGUCUCUGUAAAUCUUUUGUUCAGAAA
RNAcentral lists this unclassified non-coding RNA (247 nucleotides) under Hevea brasiliensis (rubber tree). Lineage: Eukaryota; Viridiplantae; Streptophyta; Magnoliopsida; Malpighiales; Euphorbiaceae. The record is from RNAcentral.